This 580-nucleotide ribosomal RNA is filed under the name uncultured bacterium. RNAcentral describes it as "bacterial SSU rRNA". It matches the Rfam family "Bacterial small subunit ribosomal RNA", at positions 337 to 907 of the family's 1533-position model. The record is from RNAcentral.
UCCUACGGGAGGCAGCAGUAGGGAAUCUUCCGCAAUGGACGAAAGUCUGACGGAGCAACGCCGCGUGAGUGAUGAAGGCUUUCGGGUCGUAAAACUCUGUUGUUAGGGAAGAACAAGUGCUAGUUGAAUAAGCUGGCACCUUGACGGUACCUAACCAGAAAGCCACGGCUAACUACGUGCCAGCAGCCGCGGUAAUACGUAGGUGGCAAGCGUUAUCCGGAAUUAUUGGGCGUAAAGCGCGCGCAGGUGGUUUCUUAAGUCUGAUGUGAAAGCCCACGGCUCAACCGUGGAGGGUCAUUGGAAACUGGGAGACUUGAGUGCAGAAGAGGAAAGUGGAAUUCCAUGAGUAGCGGUGAAAUGCGUAGAGAUAUGGAGGAACACCAGUGGCGAAGGCGACUUUCUGGUCUGUAACUGACACUGAGGCGCGAAAGCGUGGGGAGCAAACAGGAUUAGAUACCCUGGUAGUCCACGCCGUAAACGAUGAGUGCUAAGUGUUAGAGGGUUUCCGCCCUUUAGUGCUGAAGUUAACGCAUUAAGUACUCCGCCUGGGGAGUACGGCCGCAAGGCUGAAACUCAAAUG